RNAcentral lists this ribosomal RNA (223 nucleotides) under uncultured bacterium. RNAcentral describes it as "partial 16S ribosomal RNA". It matches the Rfam family "Bacterial small subunit ribosomal RNA", at positions 122 to 334 of the family's 1533-position model. The record is from RNAcentral.
UAAUUUUCCUUCCAGCGGGGACAACGUUCCGAAAGGGACGCUAAUACCGCGUACGUUUCUCGGGACUCUGGUCCUGAGAAGGAAAGCUAGGUAGCAAUAUCCGGCACUGGAUGAGAAGCCUGCGUAGCAUCAGCUAGUUGGUGGGGUAACGGCCUACCAAGGCGAAGACGCUUAGCUGGUCUGAGAGGAUGAUCAGCCACACUGAAACUGAGACACGGUUCAG